Molecule: ribosomal RNA, 253 nt
Filed under: uncultured Eubacteriales bacterium
Lineage: Bacteria; Bacillati; Bacillota; Clostridia; Eubacteriales
Description: uncultured Clostridiales bacterium partial 16S ribosomal RNA
Rfam family: Bacterial small subunit ribosomal RNA
Source: RNAcentral
UACGUAGGUGGCAAGCGUUGUCCGGAUUUACUGGGUGUAAAGGGCGUGUAGCCGGGCUGACAAGUCAGAUGUGAAAUCCGGGGGCCCAACCCCCGGACUGCUUUGGAAACUGUAUAGCUGGAGUGCAGGAGAGGUAAGUGGAAUUCCUAGUGUAGCGGUGAAAUGCGUAGAUAUUAGGAGGAACACCAGUGGCGAAGGCGGCUUACUGGACUGUAACUGACGUUGAGGCUCGAAAGCAUGGGUAGCGAACAGG